AUGAAAGUGGGGACCAUCUCGAAAGGCAGUGAGAAGACGGAUUCUACAGCACUGCUUUCAUUCAAUUGGGCUUUUGGCACUCCAUUCGAAUCCAGAACCUCACCUCUAGCUCAGACCAAGAAUUGGCACUUCUGCUUGAAUUCCUGGAAAGAAUCGCUGGUUUUGUAACUUAAGACUUGCCUGGGAAUACCUCUACAGUUUACAUCCUUUUAUUUGGGAGAAAAUACCGAGGCAACCAGGAAGAAAUGAAAAAAAAAAAUCGAUGUGGAAGGUUCCUCCAGUGCCCUGGCUGUUUGAGGUUCCGGAUCAACUGUCAAGGGUAAAUUUCAUUGCAUGAUUUUCUUGGAGCUAUCUUUGUCUACCUGGAGGUUCCUAAACAGUGAAUUCCCAGUAAUGAGCAGUCUUCAGUAUUAAAACCACUGUCUUGUCACCUCAUUUUGCAUUACUGUCUUCCGUGGAUGUUUCAGUUAUAACUAAUGUUAUUUAUAGAACAGCAUUAAUCCAUUAAAGCUAACCUAUUUUUCAAUAUUUAUGAUAAUCUUAUGUACAUACAGUGUCUGUCCAUAUGUAUUUGUAAAUAGGUUGUAUAUAAUGUCAGGUUUGGGUCUUGGGUUGAAAUGUAUAUAUCCUUCCUUACAAGUUUCUUAACUGCAUUUUGAUGAAUUCACAUUAUGUAUCUAUAAGAAUUGUCCCAAAAGUACCUGUACAGAGAUUUCAAUAAACAAAUUGACAAAUUGUGUAAACACUAAAAAUUUAAAAUACUGUUAAAAUUGUAUUUGCAAUAAGCAGACUACGUGAACAACACAUUUUUUUCAUGAAAACUUGGUGCAGGUUCAGAACUCUAAAAUUUUAAAUAAGGUCUAAAUUUUCAAAAUGUAGUAGCUAUUAAAACGAUCUAGUGUAAUGAAAUCAAAUAUGCUCUAGUGUGGUGGAAGACCUUUGAGAACCUGAUUGUGGUAAGCUUUCUGUAUAUAAUGUAAAUAUCCUCACUGUACUGUUAUAGAGGCCAACAAUUCCAGUAAGACUUGUUGGCAAAGAGUGCUACACGUUUCAAUGAAACAUUGUAUGUUUGUUUUAACUGAACUAAAAUAAAUACAUGCUUAAUCCUGAGUAGCAGUGUUUUAUUUAAAGCAGUGAUAAGUCGUGUCUGGUGUGUUUUGUAAGCACAGUAAGGUAGCACUUAGUAGGGGUUCAUAUAGUGUUAGUGAUUAUGAUGAAGAAAAAAUGGUCAUCAAAAAUAUUUGCAUACCAAGUAUUUGGAGGAAUGGAAAAAAUUUUUUUUUAAUCUGGAGGACCAAGUCUUAGACCUGCUGUAAGUAAAUAUAGUGCACCAUAAUCACACCUGGGGAGCUUUUUAAUGUGCCACUAUCUGGGGACUCCAGGUCCGAGAACUAGGGUCCUGAAUGGAAUUCAAUUUUCUGGAGCAUGUACCCAUGUAGGCUGAUCCCAUGGGUCUGGAGGGCAGCCUGGGAAGUUUUGUUUGUUUCCCCAGAAAAGUAUCCAAGUGAUUUCUGAUGCAUAAGUAAAAUAAGGGGUGCCGAAAUAGGCCUGGGAAGAAGUCAGGUGAGUUCAGCCCUUGUGAGAGGAAGGGCUAUGGCUGGAGAGAGAUUAGGCCAGCUGAAGGUUACCUGAGGGAUGAACACUGAGGAAGGUUACUGACAUACACAGGGUAGCUCAGGUGUGGCCUGCUGGUUGGUUGAAAGCUUGAGCCUUAGUGAAAUAGCCAAAACAGGUGUGCCAGGGAGCGGUUCCAAAGACAAAGGGAACCUUAAAUGUAAGAAAUUUAUAUCCAGUUACUAACAUUGUGCAAGAGGGAAGGAAAUAGUUAAUGUUUAGAAAGUACAGCAGAAUUUCCAUCAUCUCAAGAACAAAGGACUAGCAGAGUUUCUAGUCAUCCGAGAAGCUUUAAUGGAACACCUACUGUGUGCAAGUAACAUGCCCAUGGAAAGAGCCUGGGGUAAUGUGUCAGACUCAGGUUUUCACAGAAUCCAUAGUUUUCAAUCACACCAUUUUUAAAAUCUAGUGAAAUGAUUUUAAGAAAUACUAAACUUGGGAUGCCAGUUUAUUGAUCUGAAAUUUGAAAUAUAUUUGGUGGGUGGGUCCCUUGAGGUCAAAUUUCAGCUCUACAGAGAGGCAGAUAUUUCCAGUAAGCUUGAGGAACAGCCAAGGAACAGAAAAAUCCAGAGUUGUUUAUCAUCUUGGAAAUACUCUUACCUAGAGAAUUCGUUUUAGUUCAGUUUCUGACAACAAAGUAAAGAAGAUCCAGUUAAUUAACAUAAGCAAGAAUGAUGGCAGAGACUUCCUGUCAAAGGUGGGAAACCAGCUGUCUACUGGAGCAGUGAGUAGCCUUGUUAAGAACAACCUGAUGGAGUCAAUCCGCCAGGACUGGGAAGAAGGGGCCGUUCUGUUAUGGCUAUAAAAGAAAGAGCUUGACAUGCCCACACCACUGCUGCUGCUGCUGCUGCUAAGUCGCUUCAGUCGUGUCUGACUCUNNNNNNNNNNNNNNNNNNNNNCCAUAGACGGCAGCCCACCAGGCUCUGCCGUCCCUGGGAUUCUCCAGACGAGAACACUGGAGUGGGUUGCCAUUGCCUUCUCCAGCCCACACCACUGGACCUCUAGAAACUUUUAUGAGGUUCAUAUGAAACACAUUUUUAUCACUUUCUAAAAUAACAUUAAAAUGUCCAUUUGGUAUUUGCAUUGGACUGCAUCAAAAUAGUAGGUUAGCUAUGGAAACAAUAACACAUCCAGCAAAGACUCUUUUGUCCCUUCAUUUUGAAGUCAUUGUCUUUCUUGAAAAAUAAAAUGGCAGUGAGCUUCUUAGAAGGAGACUGGGGUACCUCAGAAAAUUAAAAGUCAAACAGGCUAAUACGACCCAGCAAUCCCACUGCUGGGCACACACACCAAGGAAACCAGAA
RNAcentral lists this long non-coding RNA (2915 nucleotides) under Capra hircus (goat). RNAcentral's name for it is "lncRNA (ENSCHIG00010003835.1)". The record is from RNAcentral. Lineage: Eukaryota; Metazoa; Chordata; Mammalia; Artiodactyla; Bovidae.